AAACUGAGGGAAUUUUGAAUUUUGGCCCACCGACUCUAUCCCCUCUUUGGCAUGCCUCUACUCUCUCUCCCCCUUGCCUUCCCCAUUCUCUCUCCCUCUAACUCUCAUGCCUUUCCAUCUCUCAUACUCUCUCUCUCCUAAGAAACACAGGUAAAAAACAUAGGGAACUAUCCCAUUCUCUCUUUCUUACAUUACUAUUCUCUCAUGCCCUGCCUUCCCACUCUCUCAAGACCUCUAUUAGGGAUGUAAUGGUAAUGAUAGAAGACACUGUUUUUUUGGUUGGAGGAUUGCUCUUUGAGAACCCAUUAUUUCAUUCAAGUUCAAAGCUACUAUAAAAAACUGAAUUUUGAAAAUGGAGGACUCCUGCAGUUGCUGGUUUGCUUAUUUUUCACAAGAUAAGGAGGCGCGAGUGGAAGAUCUGAUGCUAAAAUAAGGGAUGGUCAUGAUAGGUUUUUUUAUCAGUAUUUUGGCUUUAGGGCGUCUUUGACUAUGGCUAUCUUCCAUUGACUGUACAUGGCUGUCAUUUGAGUCAUCAUAAUGGCCACAAGUAGAGUGAGGUUGUUAUGUUAUUAUGGUGGUUCCUUUCAGAGAAGGCUAAAUGAUGGACGAAUGUACUACAAGGGCGAGAAUGUGAAAGCUGCUUUGUUUAAUGGGAGUGACUCAUUGGACCAGUUAAAGACGCACAUGGGGUCUAUUGCGCAUUGUGACCCUAGCUAUUUGAUGAUUAUAUAUCUAGAAAGUGAUAUUUUAGUAGAAGUAAAUGAAGAUGCAGAUGUGACAUGUAUGUUGUUGGUGGCUUCCAAUGGUCAUGUAUGUAUUGCGAAUUAACCAUUCGAAGUAAUAAAUAGGGAACAUCAAACAAA
Amborella trichopoda is the source of this 863-nucleotide long non-coding RNA. RefSeq lists it as uncharacterized. Lineage: Eukaryota; Viridiplantae; Streptophyta; Magnoliopsida; Amborellales; Amborellaceae. The record is from RefSeq and is a predicted model, not a curated record.